ACAAUUGCUGUCUGCAGCUUUUUAUUUAUUUAUUUUGAAAGUUUGAAAGAAAUUGAAAGUUAUUCACAAUGAAUUUUGGUUGCUGCACGAAACUGGUAUAAGUUAGCAACAGCAACUAAGGUUGGUCAUUUUUUUUGCAAAAUAAACCCAGUUCAGGAUGAUCGGAACACAGAAGCAUAUCUUAAAUUGAAAAUUGAUGGUUCGUUUCAAGAUCUUAUUGAAAUGCACCCUCCUCCAUUUUCUUUAAUCUAGCAAUGAUUCUGCAUGACACAUUUGUUCUUAAUGGAAAGGCGUCUUAAAGACAAACAUGGAUUGAGGAAGACAAAAAGCUACAGGAGGUGCUCUGUAACCUAUUGGUUCCAGGACCGGCCUCUCUGAACUCUUUCUGUGACCCCAAUUUCAUCCUAUGUCCAUGGUCUCUUUGGACGCUGCAGUCACCCGUAAUUGGUUUUGACAUUCUGUGUUUCGCAGUGUGUGUGAACAAGCUGUCUUUGGUGUACCAUGUCCAUGAGGUUCAUGGGAAGAAGCUAGCAAAGCCCUGCCCAAAUCUAAGCUUCCCCCUCCUCUUGUCUCCUCCUCUCCGGUCUAGAUCCAUUGGCUGGCAUCUCUGUGGUGGAAUGCUGCUGGGACCCCCUUCUAACCUCCUCUCAACCCUCCCCUUGAGUCCACCCAUCCACCCAUUAGGAAUUCCAGCAGGGCACUGUGGGUGGGAUGAAUGGCAUGAGAGCCAAGGAAAUGAAGUUCAGAGGGAUUGGCGUACAGUUAGGCCUCAUCAAGAUCUAUGAGAUCUACUGUCCACUUGAUUGAAGGCCAGGAGUGACAUAUCAGCUGUGGAACGUGUGAGGUAUGAUGAACAUGUCCAGACAGCAGCUGUGAUUCACUGUGAUCCACUCAGACGGAGUGUGUGACUUCACACCCAACCACACACAUUCACUCCAACACACCCCGUCACCUCUGCUCCCAUGACACCAUUGUCAACAAACAACAGACAAAAACAGCUCGUUGGGGACAUUUAUAUAUACACUGUAUAAACCUACUAAAAACACAGUGAAGUGUACAUAAAUAUCAAAUGAAAAGGCCAUCAAACAAAGUGUACAAAUAAAUGCAAAAAUCUGGGGGCAGAAAGUUUGUUUUUACGUUUUUGAAUGAAUGCUCACCAAUGCUUGAUAGAAAGAGG
RNAcentral lists this long non-coding RNA (1177 nucleotides) under Carassius auratus (goldfish). Its description in RNAcentral is "lncRNA (ENSCARG00000006618.1)". Lineage: Eukaryota; Metazoa; Chordata; Actinopteri; Cypriniformes; Cyprinidae. The record is from RNAcentral.